Long non-coding RNA from Gopherus flavomarginatus (Mexican gopher tortoise), 777 nucleotides. RefSeq lists it as uncharacterized. The record is from RefSeq and is a predicted model, not a curated record. NCBI's taxonomy places the organism in Eukaryota, Metazoa, Chordata, Testudines, Testudinidae. The transcript has 3 exons.
CAGGAAGACAGAUAAUCCCCAGAACAACCAGGAGGAAGCACCACCUGUGGAGAAUUAGAUUGGAAGCUCUACGUGGCAGGGACAAUAUCUACCUGUGUGUUUGGACAGCUCAGAGCACAAUGGGGCCCUGCUCUACAAAGGCAAUGGGGAGCCAAAUCAUGGCAGUCCAACAGAAAUGGGAUUAUGUGGCUAUGCAGAAGAGAAGAGAAGCUCUAAUAGAAGCACCUACAGCAUGGGAGAGGGGACAUUGCUGGAGAAAAAGAGAAUGGACAACAGCCAUGCAGCAUGUUAUGUUUUCAGCGGCUACAAGAGAUUGUUAGAAAGUCUUAUGUCUUGUUUGUCAAAAGGAAAAGAUGAAGGUUAGAAAUGGAGAUUCAGAGAAUGGAAAGUUCAAGAGACAAAGCAAGAGAAGGAAAAGCCAAAUACUGUGAAGCUUGAAACAAUAUUUAUGUUACAAAAAUGUUGAGUUGUUGAUGUGAUGGGUUGGAUCACAGAAACCCCCUUGGGAGCUGCCACCUGAUGUGCCCAGACUACUUCUACCCCUUUUCCCUGCCAGCUCAGGACCCCAGCACCCUGUCUUGCUGAGCCAGAUACUCCUGUCUGCUCUAACAAAGACCCAGAUUCUGAAUUACUUGCCCCAAAGCUGCAGGUUCACCUGAAAGCCCCUCCCAGAAGUGUUCUUGUCUUUAACACCCAGCUGCCCAACUCCCAAUGGGGUCUAAACCCAAAUAAAUCUGUUUUACCCUGUAUAAAGCUUAUAUAGAGUAAAUUCAUAAA